GGAAGGCUCUGAUACCAUGUUAAAUUUGGGCUAGGCUUAACUCACUCCAAAAGCUAGCUCAAGGGGGAGGAGUGCCUAUGGCCUAUAUAAGGGGCACAUUACCCCUUUCCACAACCGAUGUGGGAUUCAACAGAGGAGAAUAGAAGAAAGAACUGGAAAUCAACAAAAGAAGAAGAAAAUAUGAGUUGAAUUCAAGAUAUAAAUGAUGGAAAGAAAUUUCAGGGAAACUAAAAGGGCAAAAGAAAAGAAAUUUCUGGGAAAGAAGGAAGAAGAAAUAGUGGAAACUGAGAAGAAGAAAAGAAGGAACUGAAGUAAGAAAGAAAAGAAAUUUCAGGUAAAAGAAAGAAGAAUUUAGAGGAAAGAAGAAUUUAGAGGGAAGAAGGAAGAGAGUAGAGAAGAAAGAAACCUGAUUCCUGAUUCCUGAAUGGAUCUCAAGCCCUCUUGAAGGUUAGCUCUGAUACCAAUUUGUUAUGUAUUAGAUCUGAAUAGCCUUGUGAAACAGAGAAUUAGGCAGAGAAAAAAAUAGCAAGAGACUUGGUUUAUAAAAGUAAUAGAAAUGGGUGAAAUUAAGAGAAUUAGUGAGAAGAGAUGGUAGAAGAGAGAAAGGAGAUUGUUAUAUGUUAUAGGAAUAGAGGAAAUAAGUCACAGAAGAAAUAAUAAGUCACAGAACUAGAGGAAAUAACAGAUUGUUCCAGAGGAAUAAUAGAUUGUAUUUGAAUGUAAAUUGGAGGGUAAAGUGGUUAGGAGGCUGUUAGCCAAGAUAUUCAGUAUAAAAGUGAGAGAGAAGACGCUUGUAAGGCAUCAGAAGAAUUAUUCAAUAAAGAAUAUCUCUCCUCUCCCUCUCAUUCUGAUUCUCAUCUCUCUCUCUUCUCUCUUUCUCAUCCCCUUUCUUUCAGAAUGGUUUCUCAUCUCCAUUCUUUCUCUAGCUAAAGCUCGCAAUUGGUAUCAGAGCAAGGUUUGAAUUGGACAACAGUACAGAAGUGACACACUAGACUCGUGAGAAUAACAAGAUUGACGGCGGACGCACAGAACUCUGAAUCUGCAAGAAUUUCAGAAUUGAAGGACCAGAUGCAGGCCCUACAGGAGGAGUCGAAGAGAGAGAUAUGAGAUUUUCUCUAGCGAAGAUGAAUAAGAAAGAAUUGACUCUGAAGAUUGAAGAAGAGUCGAGAAGGAUUAAAGAUGAGCUUGCAUUGAAAAUCCAAGAUUCAAUGAACCAAAUCUUGGUAGCCUUGCAAAGCGUGGGAAAGGCGAAGGGAAUUUAUAAUGGAGUCAACGAAGAGGUUGGACAGUCCGCCGGACACUCCGCUGCUUCCAUAGGAGGACGGGGAUGGUUAGAUACUCCACCUGGAGGAAACAGCAAUCCACAGAUGCAAUUAAAAGGCCAGUGAGUUGGAAGUGCUGGAUCUAAUGAGGUGGAAGGUAUGUCUAAAAUUCUCCCCAAGAUCAAGUUGAUUACGUUUGAUGGCAAUGCACCUAGAGCUUGGAUAAGAAAAUGCAUCAAAUACUUUGAAGUAUAGGAGGAUAAGAAAAUGAAUCUUGCAAGCCUUUUUUUAAUUGAUAAGGUUGAUUCUUGGUACCACAAUUGGAUCAAGAAUGAAGGAAAACAUGAGUGGGAAGACUUUGAAAAGGAUCUUUGUGAAAGAUGUAGAGGAAAUUAUGAAGUUGAGACAAAUAGGGACGGUGGAAGAAUACCAAAGCGAGUUUGAAGAUGUACGGGUUAGAUUGGAAAGAUUCAUGCCUAACCUUGGAGAGACAUACUUUCUCUCAGGGUUCGUAGGUGGAUUGAAGGUUGAUAUUAGACCCAUGGUGCGAAUGAUGAAGCCCUCCUCCUUGCCUCAAGCCUUCCAAGUGGCCAAGUUCCAAGAAUAGCUCAUUAACUGUGGCAAGAAGAAUCCAUCUGAUGCCAGGAAUAACUAUUUAGUUUUAAAAACAACAACUCUUCAUUCCCAAACACUUAUAAGCCAUCACUGUCCAACCAAUAUUAUCCCUUCCUCCAUAAAAACACCAACCCUGAUCAGAAAUUCACUUCAGUAGCCCCAGCUAAUAACCAGGGCACCACUGUGAGCUCUCACAAUCAGUGAACUGCCAGCAGCACCAAUCAAAAUUAUGUAAGAACCACUAGACCCUGUUUCAAGUGUGGGGAGAAGUACUUUCUUGGCCGGAGAAAUCAUUAAUGACUGUGCAAGGGCAAGAUGAAGAAGGAGAAGAAUUGUGGCAUGAUGUAGCUGAGGAAGAAACACCUGAUACACAGGAGGAAGUCACUCUGUCAGUACAUGCAAUGGAAGGGAAGUUUGGGGCAGAAACAGUGAGAGUAAUAGAAAGGCAUAAAAACAGGAAGCUAAUCAUUUUGAUAGACAGUGGAAGCACACAUAGUUUCAUGGAUACUAGAGUAGCUGAGGAAUUAAAGAUACCUGUGGUGGAAAUCGCUGCAAUGCCUGUGACAGUAGCUGAUGGAAGGAAGACUUUCAGCAACUCCAUGACUCCUGCUUUUAAAUGGAAAAUUCACCAACAUGCCUUCAUGUUUAACUUUAGACUGUUAGAGAUGGGCAGCUUUGAUGUGAUCCUUAGGGUCGAUUGGAUGACGUCUUUCAAUCCAAUCCUGUUUGAUUUUGAAGAUUCCUCAGUCAGCUUCAAGUAUCAAGGGAAGGAGAUCACAAUGCGAGUAGUUAAAGGAGUGAUGCCAUUCACCAAACUGCUGCAGUGUCAUGGCCUGUAAGAAUUUAUGCAUAAACAAGGAGAAGAUUUCUAGACACCAAUAUUCUGUAUACAGUUGCAAGAAGGACAAAAUGUUACUAACAAUAAAGUCACAAAAGAAGACACAUACAAUGAUCAGCCAAGACUGCGGAUCCUGCUUCAGAAAUAUAAGUGCAUUUUUGAAUAUAGGUACCCUCACUUCAAAAAGGCAAAUUGAAAAACAGGUGGAGGAAAUGCUGAGAUCCGAAGUUAUACAACCCAGCACCUGUCCUUAUGCCUCACCAGUAUUGCUAGUAAAGAAAAAGGAUGGAAUAUGGAGGUUUUGCAUUGACUUCAAGAGGCUGAAUGAUCUCACUAUAAAAGAUAGGUUUCCCAUUCCAAUAAUUGAUGAUCUUUUGGAUGAACUACAUGGAGCAACAAUAUUUUCAAGAAGACCUGAAGGUAGUGAGGAGCUGUUAAUGGCACUACAGUCCAUAGUUCAACCCUCUUGGUAUCUUAGUUGCUGGCCAGUUAUGAAGGGGAUCUGUAUGCUGCUGAAUUGAUCACUCAGUUAGCUAUUGAUCUCAAUAGCCAUUCUAGUUUGAAGAUAAAAUAAGGAGUGUUGUACCACAGAAACGGGCUGUAUGUUGGGUCUAAGGGAACAUUGAGACAAGAAUUGUUGAGACUAUAUCAUAAUUCCUAGCAGGGAGGGCACUCUAGGUCUAGUAUUAAUGCCACUUAUGUAAGACUGAGCAGACACUUCUAUUGGCCUGCCAUGAUCAACACAGUGACAGAAUGGAUUAGAGCGUGUGAAGUCUGUGCUAGAUGCAAGGUAGAACAUGUUGCUUCUCCAGGGUUACUUCAACCUCUACCCAUCCCUACUCAAGCAUGACAACACAUCACAAUGGACUUUGUUGAACAGCUGCCUAAGUCAAAAGGUAAAAAAGCUAUUCUAGUGGGGAUUUGCAGAUUCACGAAGUAUGCACACUUCCUACUCCUACAACAUCCAUUUUCAGCCAAAACUAUUACAAAGUUGUUCUUAGAGUCAAUAACUAAACUUCAUGGAGAGCCACAGUCCAUUGUAUGAGACAGGGACAUGAUCUUCACAAGUCUCUUUUGGAAGAAUCUUUUCAAGACGUUAACUAAGCUGGCCUUUAGCACUGCCUAGCACCCCCAAUCAAAUGGCGAACGAAAAGACUGAAUCAAAGGUUAGAAGGUUAUUUGAGAUGCCUCUGUUUCUAGCAACCAUGCUCUUGGAGUAAAUGGCUAUCCCUGCAAGAGUGGUGGUACAAUAUUAGCCACCACAGUGCCAUUAAAAUGGCACUAUUUCAAGCAUUAUGAGGCUACCCCCCACCUCUACUCACAUUCCAUCACUCUGAGAAAUGCUCAGUGGAGACAGUAACUCAAUUUCUACAGAAGAGGCAACACAAUUCUCAAUUAAUAAGAGAGAAUCUGCAAAGUUUACAGAGCAGAAUGAAGCAUAUGGCUGAUAAAAAGAGGUCUGACAGAGUCUUGGAAGUGGGAGAUUGGGUGUACUUGAAACUUCAAUCCUAUAGACAGACCUCCUUAGCAGUUAGAAAGCAGCUGAAGCUAUCUACUAGAUAUUAUGACUGUACAAGAUUACUGAGAAAGUAGGUCAGGUAGCAAACAAGUUACUGUUGCCUCCCGAUGCAGUAGUCCACCCAGUAUUUCAGGUAUCUUUACUCGAGAAAAAGGUAGGAGAAGAUAAGGUGGUGAGCCAGUAGUUGCUUGCCUUCAUUCAAGAUGAAGUUGUCAUUGCCCCUGAGAAAUUGCUCAAGACUAGAGUUAUUUUAAGAGACGACCAAAGGGUGAUGCAAGAAUAAUAGAUUGUAUCUGAAUGUAAAUUGGAGGGAAAAGUGGUUAGGAGGCUAUUAGCCAAGAUAUUCAGUAUAAAAGUGAGAGAGAAGACACUUGUAAGGCAUCAGAAGAAUUAUUCAAUAAAGAAUAUCUCUCCUCUCCCUCUCAUUCUUUUUCUCAUCUCUUUCUCUUCUCUCUUUCUCAUCCCCUUUCUUUCAGAAUGGUUUCUCAUCUCCAUUCUUUCUCUAGCUAAAGCUAACAGAGAUAUCUUUGAUUAUUAAUGAUAUUGUAUAGUUUUCACUUUACAAUUAAGUUUCUAUUUAUAUUUCUCAUGAUCUUAUAACUUUAUAAGUGCUUUCUACUGUUACAACUGACUGAGGAGAGUAGUUGUAAUUACUAUAGAAUCUUCUUAUUCUACCUCUGGACUAAUUUCCUCCGAACUCACUACCUCUGAAAGUCAUAUACGGUCAACAUAUCACUAUCUACACUACUCCUGGUCAACAUAUCACUAUCUUCACUACUUAGUCAUAACUCAUAACAUGAUAGACAAAGCUACUUAGCAGCCUUGAACCUGAUGCAGAUUGACAUAUGAUACCAUUUUAUCUAUAAGCUAGUGGCAGUAAUUCGACUUGAUUAGGAGAUGUGGGUUACAUGACUAACAUGUGUUAUCACAUUAACCAUCAUAUGAAAGAAGUAAGAGCAAAUAAUUACCUAAGCCCUUUCACAAACCACUUGUCCCCAUAUGUCGCCUCUUCAGUUUUCUUCAAAUCAGCCCAGCUGUACCCUGAAUGCAUGUUUAAUUUUAUUUCUUAUGGUCCAUCUUUAUUUUUCUAUUAUCUGGCAUUAUGAAUGAAGACAAUAAAAGAGGCAAAUUUAAAAAAUUAUGCUUUUAUUUCCACAUAGAAAGCAGAGUGGAUGAUCAUUUCUCUACAUAUGAUUGAAGGCUAGUGUCCACUUCAGUUGAUUUAUUUUGUUUGCUUGGAACCAAUAAAUUAUAGAAAUACAUCUCUGAACUAUUGGAAGCAGUUUUCAACUAAGUCAAGCAAUACAUGUUUUCUCUUUGAUUAAUUUUUCACUGGUUUUUAUUGUUCCUUUAACUGAAGCAACCAUGUACUUAUGUUAGACAAAACUUGUACAAUGAAAAUGUAAAAAGUUUGCUAAAUGAGAUGUUAAUUGCAGUCUUGGCAAUUUAGCGGAAGCUAUGAACAGAAUGGAGUGGCUUGACCUUCUAACAUGAG
This 5729-nucleotide long non-coding RNA is filed under the name Manihot esculenta (cassava). Its description in RNAcentral is "long non-coding RNA (MESC_LNC009252)". The record is from RNAcentral. Lineage: Eukaryota; Viridiplantae; Streptophyta; Magnoliopsida; Malpighiales; Euphorbiaceae.